UAUGUUCCCAGCUUUAGCCACCUGCUCAAGCAUCAUCCAUUGGGGAUGAUGUCUCUUGCAGUCUUGGACGGGAUGAGAAUACUGCAGGGAAAGGAGCUGGUCUGCUGAUGCUUUCUGGGGCUGCUCCUGAGGAGGCUGCAAAGGUUUGUUGUGCCUUGGGAGCCUUUUCAAGUCCUUUCCAGCUCAGAGAGAUCUCCUACCUAGCAGGGGAUCUGCUGGCUGCAGAGAAGGGGGUGUGUGUCAUUGCCAGCUCUUGAGGCUGAGAGAGUGUAACAAAGGCCACCCCUAGUGGGUUUCCAGGAUCCGAACCCUGAUCGCCAGAGUCGGAGAACGAGAGCAAUUCUGGGUCUCCCUUCCAGACAAAUCUGCUGAGACCGGCUCUUUCUUUGCCUAGAUUAUUUUUAACCAACUAAUAGUUUAUUCCAGGACUGAGUUCGGAAACGUCUGAAACCAACGCGUUACAAACGGCAGCAGCAACGAUCCCCAGCCCGCCUCUGGGACACAGGGAUUUAUUCAACUUUAUAUAUAUAUAGUUGAAUAAAUAUAUAUACAGUAUAUAUAUUCCGAUGUUGUGGAAAAUGCAAAGCUGUCCAUUUGAACCUGUGUAGAAUAGUUUGAUUAACAAUUUUAAAAAAAUUAAAAAUAUAUAUUUUAUUUAUGUAUUUAUUUAUUUGGGAGUCCUAUCUGCAAAGCCUACGAAAUGAGAGAGAGAGGGAUUGCAGGGGAGUUGGUUGAAAUAAAGUGUAAUAAUAAUAAUAAUAAUAAUAAUAAUAAUAAUAAUAAU
This is a long non-coding RNA of Sceloporus undulatus (fence lizard), 784 nucleotides long. RefSeq lists it as uncharacterized. NCBI's taxonomy places the organism in Eukaryota, Metazoa, Chordata, Lepidosauria, Squamata, Phrynosomatidae. The transcript is spliced from 3 exons. The record is from RefSeq and is a predicted model, not a curated record.